Arachis ipaensis is the source of this 963-nucleotide non-coding RNA. The record is from RefSeq and is a predicted model, not a curated record. Lineage: Eukaryota; Viridiplantae; Streptophyta; Magnoliopsida; Fabales; Fabaceae.
CUGGGUUAAAACAACGGUUUUUGAAUAGGUUAAAAUGGCGAUUCAAACCGCCGUUAUUUCCAGGGUUAAAAUGACGAUUUUUGGAUAGGUUAAAACGGCAGUUUGAACCGCCAUUAUUACCCUGACAGAGUGGCGUUUUGGUUGGUUAAAAUGGCAGUUCAAACCGCUGUUAUUUCCAGCGUUAACAUGGCGAUUUUUGGAUAGGUUAAAACGGCAGUUUGAACCGCCAUUAUUACCUUGACAGAGUGGCGUUUUGAUUGGUUAAAACGGCAUUUUUGAACUGCCGUUUUACCCUGACAGUGACAUUUUUUAUCGUUUAAAAAAAUAAUUUUUACUGUCAUUUUUAUUGCGUUAAAUAAAUAAUUGUGAUUAAAAUUUCACAAUAGCAAAAAAUCAUAAUCCAUAAAUGAAAUAUUAUAUAACUCGUAUACAAAAUAUUAAUAUAAUAUAUAAUUUUUUAUUAUUGAAAAUCAAAAGUAAUAACUCUUAUACAAAACCUUGUCUUACUAAACUUACCAAAAUACAAGCAUUGCAAUAAACACUAAUCAGUCAAAUCUACCAUGCAGUUUCCUAAACUAUGUUAAUAUCUAAUAAUGUAUUUAAACCAUCUAAUAAGUGAUGUAUUUACUACUUAUAAUAUGAAUAUACAAGACAAGUAGCUUAGCUAAGUGAUGAUGAAUAAGAUUUGGAGACCAAAAGUUUUCUCCUUUUCUAAUUAACUUUAAAACAAGCCUGCCUUAGUUUCUUGGUCUCUUGUGUGAGUUUCAUCCUGGGAACUUGCUCCAACAUCUUUGUUUCUUGCUCCAACACUCCAACUUCAUUAUCCAAACUCAUCUCUUACAAAGAUUUGUAGGAACCUCUCCUGUCAGGGAAUUUCUAUCAAGCCGGCUGUUAUAAAUUGAAAUUAUAACAAUGAAAAGAUGUCAUUAGAAACAAUAUAUAACUAGUCAAAUAAUAUAAAGA